Vigna angularis (adzuki bean) is the source of this 871-nucleotide long non-coding RNA. RefSeq lists it as uncharacterized. The record is from RefSeq and is a predicted model, not a curated record. Lineage: Eukaryota; Viridiplantae; Streptophyta; Magnoliopsida; Fabales; Fabaceae. The transcript is spliced from 2 exons.
CUUUCACUUAGUAGAAUACACAUUCCAGGAAUUCAAAUUUUAUUGGUGUCAAAACGAUUGAACCAACAUAAUACAUAAUGAAAUCUUGAAGAUACUCUACAUAUAAGAUAAAUUAUAUAUUCUUGUUAUACUUAACACAAUACACUAGUAAAAAAACUGGAUUUAAAAUCGAUCAAUAAGCCUCGUUUUUAGUGAAACCGAAACCUAUUAAAUUACAUUGGAAGAAUUAUAAAUAAGGUGAACUCUUAUGACUCGGUUCACAGCGAACCCAUGCCUAAUAAUUUGAAAGUUGCUGUUGUCCGUGAUCUUUAUGCCUCGGUUGACUGAUAAACCGAGAGCUAUAACUUGUUUUUCUGGGCAUGUUGGCAUCGGGUGUUGGGAGAACCCAUGCAUAUAGCUUUUUAUGGCCCCGUUUUUGUAUUAACCGAGGCAUUAGAUUAGAUGUGCUUUAUCUUACCUCCAGACCCGUAAAAACAUUUUUACCCUACUGUUGUUCCUCUUUCUUCUCCGCGCAAAACUGAUCUUUCUUCUCCAGCCACCGCGACUGCUGCACUGCUGGACCGCGCCUCCACCGCCACCGCUGGACUGCGCCGCCACCACUGGACCGCGCCGCCAACGCUGCACCGCUGCUACGACGUUCAUCCCUUUUCUUUGUUCUUCGUGUUUUAGAUUAGGAAUGAGAGAUAAAUUGUAGCAUGAGAGGAAGAUGUCGUUGUUGGUGGAUUGCAGACGGCUCUGUCUUCGGAGAUGUCGAUUGUGAGGUGAUUUUGGUAGAUCUUGAGCUUAAUCAACUUGAGAGAAAGGCGUGUAGUUUGGUUGAGGAGUGGCUUGCUUCAGAAGCUCGCGGAUGUUCUAGAGAAGCUCGCGGAUG